UAUUAUACUAAUAAUUAUUAACGAGCCUGGAUUAAUAAUAGAUAUAUUCUUUAAAUUUAAAGAAUUUGGCGGUGAUUUAGUCUUGUUAGAGGAACCUGUUUUUGAAUCGAUAUACCACGUAAAAUUUCACUCAUUUUAUUUAGUUUAUAUACCGUCAUUAGCAGAUAAUUUUUAAAAAAUUAAUCAUUAAAGAUUAAAAGAGAUUAAGUUAAAUUAGAUCAAGGUGUAGCUUAUAAAUGAGUUAGAAUGGGUUACAAUAAAAUAUAUUUAGAACGGAGCAGCUACAGGAAGCAGUGCUGUAGAAGGAGGAUUUGAUUGUAAUGAAAGUUUAAUAAGCUAGAAAGAUAUAAGCUCUAAAUCAU
RNAcentral lists this ribosomal RNA (362 nucleotides) under Batodaeus urinator. Its description in RNAcentral is "partial 12S ribosomal RNA". Lineage: Eukaryota; Metazoa; Arthropoda; Malacostraca; Decapoda; Xanthidae. The record is from RNAcentral.